GCAGCCAGAGGGAGGAGAACACGGAAGGCUUUUAAAGAGUGAGACCAACACUGCUAGGAUGCCCCACUGGACUCAGAUGAGAUGAGGCUGGGGAGACAGCCACUGGAUGAGCAGUCCUGGGCACAGGUUCAGCAUUCCUCCAGUGGGAGCCGUCCUUUUCCUCACUAUGGAAAUGAAGGGAACAGAGACCUCCUGGCCUAGCAAGAGAGUCUGGAAAGAGGACUGGUGACAAGGAUGGCACUUGGGCCCUUUGAGGGAGGUUGACUGAGAACCAGGGAAGAUGGUCCCAGGCCUUGCCUCGCUGCCUCACUAGUCCUCUCCCGGAACAUGAGCCCGCUCAGUGAUGCCACACAGCAGAGCCACGAUGCCACUUCCAAGAACAGUUCCGACUGCUCAAGGAUGG
Non-coding RNA from Chlorocebus sabaeus (green monkey), 403 nucleotides. The record is from RefSeq and is a predicted model, not a curated record. NCBI's taxonomy places the organism in Eukaryota, Metazoa, Chordata, Mammalia, Primates, Cercopithecidae.